Molecule: ribosomal RNA, 507 nt
Filed under: uncultured Brevundimonas sp.
Lineage: Bacteria; Pseudomonadati; Pseudomonadota; Alphaproteobacteria; Caulobacterales; Caulobacteraceae
Description: bacterial SSU rRNA
Rfam family: Bacterial small subunit ribosomal RNA
Source: RNAcentral
GGUUAGUGGCGGACGGGUGAGUAACACGUGGGAACGUGCCUUUAGGUUCGGAAUAAGCUCGGGAAACUGGGUCUAAUACCGAAUGUGCCCUUCGGGGGAAAGAUUUAUCGCCUUUAGAGCGGCCCGCGUCUGAUUAGCUAGUUGGUAGUGUAAUGGACUACCAAGGCGACGAUCAGUAGCUGGUCUGAGAGGAUGACCAGCCACAUUGGGACUGAGACACGGCCCAAACUCCUACGGGAGGCAGCAGUGGGGAAUCUUGCGCAAUGGGCGAAAGCCUGACGCAGCCAUGCCGCGUGUAUGAUGAAGGUCUUAGGAUUGUAAAAUACUUUCACCGGUGAAGAUAAUGACUGUAGCCGGAGAAGAAGCCCCGGCUAACUUCGUGCCAGCAGCCGCGGUAAUACGAAGGGGGCUAGCGUUGCUCGGAAUUACUGGGCGUAAAGGGAGCGUAGGCGGACAUUUAAGUCAGGGGUGAAAUCCCAGAGCUCAACUCUGGAACUGCCUUUGAUA